UGCAAUUCGUUGCACUAUCGUUAACUGAAUACAUAGGUUAACGAGGCGAACCGGGGGAACUGAAACAUCUAAGUACCCCGAGGAAAAGAAAUCAACCGAGAUUCCCCCAGUAGCGGCGAGCGAACGGGGAGCAGCCCAGAGUCUGAAUCAGCUUGUGUGUUAGUGGAACGGUCUGGAAAGUCCGACGGUACAGGGUGAUAGUCCCGUACACCAAAAUGCACAGGUUGUGAACUCGAAGAGUAGGGCGGGACACGUGGUAUCCUGUCUGAAUAUGGGGGGACCAUCCUCCAAGGCUAAAUACUCCUGACUGACCGAUAGUGAACCAGUACCGUGAGGGAAAGGCGAAAAGAACCCCGGCGAGGGGAGUGAAAAAGAACCUGAAACCGUGUACGUACAAGCAGUGGGAGCACCUUCGGGUGUGACUGCGUACCUUUUGUAUAAUGGGUCAGCGACUUAUAUUCUGUAGCAAGGUUAACCGUAUAGGGGAGCCGCAGGGAAACCGAGUCUUAACUGGGCGUUAAGUUGCAGGGUAUAGACCCGAAACCCGGUGAUCUAGCCAUGGGCAGGUUGAAGGUUGGGUAACACUAACUGGAGGACCGAACCGACUAAUGUUGAAAAAUUAGCGGAUGACUUGUGGCUGGGGGUGAAAGGCCAAUCAAACCGGGAGAUAGCUGGUUCUCCCCGAAAGCUAUUUAGGUAGCGCCUCGUGAACUCAUCUUCGGGGGUAGAGCACUGUUUCGGCUAGGGGGUCAUCCCGACUUACCAACCCGAUGCAAACUACGAAUACCGAAGAAUGUUAUCACGGGAGACACACGGCGGGUGCUAACGUCCGUCGUGAAGAGGGAAACAACCCAGACCGCCAGCUAAGGUCCCAAAGUCAUGGUUAAGUGGGAAACGAUGUGGGAAGGCACAGACAGCCAGGAUGUUGGCUUAGAAGCAGCCAUCAUUUAAAGAAAGCGUAAUAGCUCACUGGUCGAGUCGGCCUGCGCGGAAGAUGUAACGGGGCUAAACCAUGCACCGAAGCUGCGGCAGCGACACUAUGUGUUGUUGGGUAGGGGAGCGUUCUGUAAGCCUGCGAAGGUGUGCUGUGAGGCAUGCUGGAGGUAUCAGAAGUGCGAAUGCUGACAUAAGUAACGAUAAAGCGGGUGAAAAGCCCGCUCGCCGGAAGACCAAGGGUUCCUGUCCAACGUUAAUCGGGGCAGGGUGAGUCGACCCCUAAGGCGAGGCCGAAAGGCGUAGUCGAUGGGAAACAGGUUAAUAUUCCUGUACUUGGUGUUACUGCGAAGGGGGGACGGAGAAGGCUAUGUUAGCCGGGCGACGGUUGUCCCGGUUUAAGCAUGUAGGCUGAUUGUCCAGGCAAAUCCGGAUAAUCAAGGCUGAGGUGUGAUGACGAGGCACUACGGUGCUGAAGUAACAAAUGCCCUGCUUCCAGGAAAAGCCUCUAAGCAUCAGGUAACAUUAAAUCGUACCCCAAACCGACACAGGUGGUCAGGUAGAGAAUACCAAGGCGCUUGAGAGAACUCGGGUGAAGGAACUAGGCAAAAUGGUGCCGUAACUUCGGGAGAAGGCACGCUGGUGUGUAGGUGAAGUCCCUGCGGAUGGAGCUGAGACCAGUCGAAGAUACCAGCUGGCUGCAACUGUUUAUUAAAAACACAGCACUGUGCAAACACGAAAGUGGACGUAUACGGUGUGACGCCUGCCCGGUGCCGGAAGGUUAAUUGAUGGGGUUAUCCGUAAGGAGAAGCUCUUGAUCGAAGCCCCGGUAAACGGCGGCCGUAACUAUAACGGUCCUAAGGUAGCGAAAUUCCUUGUCGGGUAAGUUCCGACCUGCACGAAUGGCGUAAUGAUGGCCAGGCUGUCUCCACCCGAGACUCAGUGAAAUUGAACUCGCUGUGAAGAUGCAGUGUACCCGCGGCAAGACGGAAAGACCCCGUGAACCUUUACUAUAGCUUGACACUGAACAUUGAGCCUUGAUGUGUAGGAUAGGUGGGAGGCUUUGAAGCGUGGACGCCAGUCUGCGUGGAGCCAACCUUGAAAUACCACCCUUUAAUGUUUGAUGUUCUAACGUUGGCCCCUGACCGGGGUUGCGGACAGUGUCUGGUGGGUAGUUUGACUGGGGCGGUCUCCUCCCAAAGCGUAACGGAGGAGCACGAAGGUUAGCUAAUCCUGGUCGGACAUCAGGAGGUUAGUGCAAUGGCAUAAGCUAGCUUGACUGCGAGCGUGACGGCGCGAGCAGGUGCGAAAGCAGGUCAUAGUGAUCCGGUGGUUCUGAAUGGAAGGGCCAUCGCUCAACGGAUAAAAGGUACUCCGGGGAUAACAGGCUGAUACCGCCCAAGAGUUCAUAUCGACGGCGGUGUUUGGCACCUCGAUGUCGGCUCAUCACAUCCUGGGGCUGAAGUAGGUCCCAAGGGUAUGGCUGUUCGCCAUUUAAAGUGGUACGCGAGCUGGGUUUAGAACGUCGUGAGACAGUUCGGUCCCUAUCUGCCGUGGGCGCUGGAGAAUUGAGGGGGGCUGCUCCUAGUACGAGAGGACCGGAGUGGACGCAUCACUGGUGUUCGGGUUGUCAUGCCAAUGGCACUGCCCGGUAGCUAAAUGCGGAAGAGAUAAGUGCUGAAAGCAUCUAAGCACGAAACUUGCCCCGAGAUGAGUUCUCCCUGAGACUUUAAGUCUCCUGAAGGAACGUUAAAGACGAUGACGUUGAUAGGCCGGGUGUGUAAGCGCAGCGAUGCGUUGAGCUAACCGGUACUAAUGAACCGUGAGGCUUAACCUU
RNAcentral lists this ribosomal RNA (2770 nucleotides) under Klebsiella pneumoniae. RNAcentral's name for it is "bacterial LSU rRNA". It matches the Rfam family "Bacterial large subunit ribosomal RNA". The record is from RNAcentral. Lineage: Bacteria; Pseudomonadati; Pseudomonadota; Gammaproteobacteria; Enterobacterales; Enterobacteriaceae.